Cuculus canorus (common cuckoo) is the source of this 1934-nucleotide long non-coding RNA. RefSeq lists it as uncharacterized. The transcript is spliced from 3 exons. Lineage: Eukaryota; Metazoa; Chordata; Aves; Cuculiformes; Cuculidae. The record is from RefSeq and is a predicted model, not a curated record.
GGCAAAUAUGCCAUCAAAUCAGAGUCAAAGUUCUUUAUGCAGGGAAGUGUGAGAAAUAGCUGGGGACAAGCUUUGAGGAGUUUGAAAGGGUAAAGAAAUGACAAAAUUUAACUGCAGCAGCAGAAACAGGAUGGAUUGACUGUACCCAAAUACUGGAAUGCAACUCCAAUAAGGCUAUUCAGUUAUCUAACACCAUUAACGGCCUAGUGUGGUAAAUGUUAAGCCAAGAGGAUCCAGAAGAGUAAACUGAGAGCAUGUUCUCAUUGAAAUCUAUCCCUGGACAUUCUGCAGGGCAUGUGUGACUUGUCCCAGCUGUUGGCACCCAGAGGUCCAUGAGACAAGGAGAAAAUGCAAUCAGAAUCUAAAUCCCUGGAUUUCUCAAACUCAGAAGUGGGAAUCUUCCUCUGAAACAGAUGGCAAGCUGCAGGAAGCCAGGCAGAAACAACAGUUACAUUUUACAGUGAGAGUGAUUAACGAGUGCAAGAGGCUGUCCAGAGGAGGGACUAGAUUAGCUUUCAUUUGAAAUCUUCAUUUGAAAUUUGGCUUCCUUUCGUAGAGAAAAUCUAUGCCAAAAUGAACUUGUUGGGCCAACUUAAAACAGGUCAGAGUGUGGCAGUAAGUAGAGCCUGUGAUAGCCAGUAGAUUAAACUAAAUUAUCUAAAGCACCUUCUGACCCUUAAGGUGUGCAUGACUCCAUGAAGCCAAGACAGUGCAGUUGUAAAUAAAUGCUUUGAGAGUUGCCGCACACCUCAACCGAUCUCCUCCACAAUCUCUGCAGAGGACUUGAAAGAAAGUUCCUCUAAUAGCUCACUGGUCAUGGACAAUGAUAGAAGUUCUUGGUGAGAAGAACUCGAAAGAUAAGAAAUUAAUCCAGAAAGGCAUUAAAGAAGAGACAAGAGAAGUGUAGAAAAAUAUAUGAAAAUUAAUCUAAUUAUAGAAAGACACCUGGAACAGUUUGGAAGUUAAGUAAGUGGAAGUACCUCCAAAUUAGAGUUUCCUACAACAGAAAGAGGAUUGACAUAUCCUGUUUAAAAUGGUUUACUUCCUGACAAUGAGGCUCAAAUUAAAAUAUUCAUUUGAACUUCUUUAGGGUAAAAAGUAAAAAAACUACAAAGAACUGGACAAGGAAAAAAAAGAGAUUGAGGCAUUUUCACUGAAAUUCUGUCUGACCUUCAAGUAACGGACAGAACUUUGAAAGAUGUCAGAAACAAAUAGCAUCAGUUUCUUCGGAGUCAGAAUAAGUCUUUAUCUUUCCUUAAGCAUGCCUGCACACAUGCUAGCUUGGAGAAGCCAGCAGGCUUUUCAUAAACUCCUGAAGACUCUCAACCAAAUUGUACAAAGUGUUUUCAAAUAACACAUAGCACAGAGGAGAAAACUCAUUAAAGUUAAUUGGCCCACCUAGAGAGUCUUCUCUGUGCCAAAAGGUGCUUUAAAAAAAAAAAAAAAAAAAAACAGAUCUGUUGCUAGCACUGAUCAAAGUCAAAACUGUUGAAUUCUUGGUCAAAUUUUCCAAAAUUUUUACUUUUACCCAGGUCUGAGGAAAAACUGAAUGAGGGAAUAACUGGUAUGCAGGUAACCUGCUAGGCUUUAUUUUCAGGAUUUUUUUUUAAAAAAAAACCCAAACUAUUAUUUUUCAAGGAAUGUUUGUUAGAAAUCUUUAAGGAGAACGCUGCUGAAAGAUCUGAUUUUUGCACCUGGGUGACAUCAAGCAAGUCCUUAAUUCUGCAAAUUUUCAGGUAUGCACUUAGCUUUGUGCAAGUAAGCAGUCAGAUUGAAAUCAACAGAACAAGUCAAAGUAAAUAUACAUUCCCCCCCAGCAGAGCCAAAGAGAAAUAAAUAACAUACGAAUAAAACAAAGCACGUGCAUGUGUUUCCAGGAAGGAGAUACCUUGCUGACCAUCUGGACUUCUUAAUUUUCAUGUUCACAAAAAUAC